This is a long non-coding RNA of Phyllopteryx taeniolatus (common seadragon), 2255 nucleotides long. RefSeq lists it as uncharacterized. NCBI's taxonomy places the organism in Eukaryota, Metazoa, Chordata, Actinopteri, Syngnathiformes, Syngnathidae. The record is from RefSeq and is a predicted model, not a curated record. The transcript has 3 exons.
AGAUGCGGACGCCUGGAUCGGGAUCGCGCCUCGGAUCCGGAGUCGCGCUCCUGCGAGUGGGCCUGGCCUGCUUGCUGGCUUGCUGGCCUCUUCCUGACGGACUGCAUGGUCCCCCUUCUGGUGAAAGCACAAACACGCAAGACAUUGCCAGAAUGCACGACCCCGAGAAUAAGGCUGCGUCCUACGAGAGCCCACCAGACACAUCGCCGUCUCCGGUCCAGCUCUCUGCUGUGUGCGCGUUCCCCUGUCGGAACGCCACCCACACUGGGCAUGAGUGAGGUCGAGGCAGCGCCCCCCCAUCACCACAAGGAGUGCCCCCCGGGGAUUUUAGACACUCUUCUAACAAGUCAAACUCCUGAGGCUGAGCAGAAAAGAAAAACAGCUACGAUGGUUCCCCUGUAGCUGCAACACGGAGUGCAUGGUCCUCCUCGAGAGUGACCUUCCAGUCAGAUAUCCACAACUUCCAUCUUCCCAAGCCAAGGAGCCUGCGGAGCAACUCCCAGACCGGGUCAUUAGCGCAGGGGUGUCACCAGAUAGCAGAUCGCCGGCCAGAGAGGCGGCGAGAGAGGGGGGACUCCUGGCACCGUGGUGGCUGCUGUGUGCUUUGACAUUCAGGUCUGGCUGAUCUAUGGGGCUGGGGAGACAGUGCCCUUGCUCUGGGUCUCUGUGAGGGGAAGGUCCUGGCAACGUUCCCCCACUCACUUUACUUCAUCAUAAAACUCAGGUCACGAGGCACCGCCCAGGCUCGUGUACGGCCAGCUUGCUGCAUCAGGACCUCAGCGUUAACAGUCCUUAGCAACAACAUACUGUAUAACAGUUAUCGAGUCAUAACUUUAUACACUUGCGACUAAUGGCGAGAACAGCAUCUCUGUCAUUGAUGUUGGGGAACCGGCCUGGACAUCUCUCAUCUUAGCACUGGCGCUAACCUUAGCGUUCAGAGUUGUGUGCAGCGCUAGGACGAACUCACUACAAAUGAUCAGCCAACGUACACUUAACCCUUGCCAAUCGUGCGAUUUUUAAAAAAUGUUGUUGUUUUUUUGCAGACCCUAACACAAAUAUUUGCUUGGAAAAAAAAAAAACACUUGUCAGCAGAUUUUUCUUCUUUUCUCGGCCCAGCCAUUGAUUAGUAAAAGUGGGAAAACGCACGAAAGGGGAAAUACGCUGGAGAGCUGUGCAAUCUGGACAAAAUUUCACAUCCUGAUAGCAAUAUAGAUGUCCCCAUAUAGUAUUUUUUUUACUUAAAAUUACACGAAUGGCUAUUGUCUCUUACCUUUUCUGCAUUUAUUCAUAAAACACAAUACAAUUAAUAGAAGAGAAAUAAAAAGACAAUGAAACACAAAUAUCCAGUGGGAAAAAUGCCAUUGAAAAUAUCUGGUAGUUCAACCGUUUUUAAAGGAAUGUACACUGUUGUUGAUGUAUACAUUAAGUAGUGUACCGGUAAUGUACAAUAUUGGCAGUGCUUCAUCACCAAGCUGCCAAAUUGCACUUUGUCAAUCUGUGAACACGGCGUGGCGCGUGACAUCUCCAAAUAUAAGUUCCCCCAAACCCCUACGUCAACAACUUAGUCAAACGUUUGAGUAUGUGCCGGUUGUCAGAACGCUGGUGAAACUGUCAGCUGACGCUAAUUUGUGCAAACACAGCUGCUCUGCUUUCCUUUUGGCUUUGACACGAUAGUCGUGCUUCUGUGUCGUCCCUGCCUAGCUGCCAAGUCAUGCGUGAAGAAAUUAAGUAUGUGGGUGGUUAUUAUGUAAAUUAGAAUUGUGAUCACGCAAUUUGGCAACUUUCAGAAGGGCAGUUUCAGAAAUAGCCAGAUAACAAAAGAUUUAGUCGGUUGUUUAAUUUCACACUUGAUGGGUGGGCGGGCAUUCCAGAGACACAGCGAUUUGUUUACAAGCCAUUAAAAAGUCAAUUUUCCAUACAAUAUGCCCUCAUAGUGUCCUGUAAUCAUGCUCACAAACAUCUAUUAGUUAACAAUGGAGUUCAGCUCAAGCACCUGCCCUUUUGCCCUGGAUGAAUAUAUAUAUAUAUAUAUAUAUUAAUAAUUAAUGAUUAUUUGCUAAAAAACAAUCAAGUUUAUCAGUUUGAACAUGAAAUAUCUUGUCUUUGUAGUGUAUUCAAUUAAAUAUAGGGUGAACAUGAUUUGCAAAUGAUUGUCUUCUGUUUUUAUUGAUGUUUAACACAACUUCAUCGGAAUUGGGGUUGUAUAUAGUAUAUUAUGUAUAAUUCUAGUUCAGAACACGAGAUGCAUUUAAUGA